CUACGUGCCAGCAGCCGCGGUAAUACGUAGGUCCCGAGCGUUGUCCGGAUUUAUUGGGCGUAAAGCGAGCGCAGGCGGUUAGAUAAGUCUGAAGUUAAAGGCUGUGGCUUAACCAUAGUACGCUUUGGAAACUGUUUAACUUGAGUGCAAGAGGGGAGAGUGGAAUUCCAUGUGUAGCGGUGAGAUGCGUAGAUAUAUGGAGGAACACCGGUGGCGAAAGCGGCUCUCUGGCUUGUAACUGACGCUGAGGCUCGAAAGCGUGGGGAGCAAACAGGAUUAGAUACCCUGGUAGUCCACGCUGUAAACGAUGUCGAUUUGGGGAUUGGACUUUGAGCUUGGUGCCCGUAGCUAACGUGAUAAAUCGACCGCCUGGGGAGUACGGCCGCAAGGUUAAAACUCAAAUGAAUUGACGGGGGCCCGCACAAGCGGUGGAGCAUGUGGUUUAAUUCGAUGCAACGCGAAGAACCUUACCUACUCUUGACAUCCAU
RNAcentral lists this ribosomal RNA (488 nucleotides) under uncultured bacterium. RNAcentral describes it as "bacterial SSU rRNA". It matches the Rfam family "Bacterial small subunit ribosomal RNA", at positions 501 to 991 of the family's 1533-position model. The record is from RNAcentral.